UACGAAGGGGGCUAGCGUUGCUCGGAAUUACUGGGCGUAAAGCGCACGUAGGCGGAUUCUUAAGUCGGUGGUGAAAUCCUGGAGCUCAACUCCAGAACUGCCUUCGAUACUGGGAAUCUUGAGUCCGGGAGAGGUGAGUGGAACUGCGAGUGUAGAGGUGAAAUUCGUAGAUAUUCGCAAGAACACCAGUGGCGAAGGCGGCUCACUGGCCCGGUACUGACGCUGAGGUGCGAAAGCGUGGGGAGCAAACAGG
Molecule: ribosomal RNA, 253 nt
Filed under: uncultured bacterium
Lineage: Bacteria
Description: partial 16S ribosomal RNA
Rfam family: Bacterial small subunit ribosomal RNA
Source: RNAcentral